This 554-nucleotide ribosomal RNA is filed under the name Papiliotrema laurentii. Its description in RNAcentral is "eukaryotic LSU rRNA". It matches the Rfam family "Eukaryotic large subunit ribosomal RNA", at positions 84 to 627 of the family's 3401-position model. The record is from RNAcentral. Lineage: Eukaryota; Fungi; Basidiomycota; Tremellomycetes; Tremellales; Rhynchogastremaceae.
UAACGGCGAGUGAACCGGGAAGAGCUCAAAUUUGAAAUCUGGCGUCCUCAGGGCGUCCGAGUUGUAAUCUAUAGAGGCGUUUUCCGUGCCGGACCGUGUCCAAGUUCCUUGGAACAGGAUAUCAAAGAGGGUGACAAUCCCGUACUUGACACGACGACCGGUGCUCUGUGAUACGUCUUCUACGAGUCGAGUUGUUUGGGAAUGCAGCUCAAAAUGGGUGGUGAGUUCCAUCUAAAGCUAAAUAUUGGCGAGAGACCGAUAGCGAACAAGUACCGUGAGGGAAAGAUGAAAAGCACUUUGGAAAGAGAGUUAAACAGUACGUGAAAUUGUUGAAAGGGAAACGAUUGAAGUCAGUCGUGACCGAGAGGCUCAGCCGGUUCUGCCGGUGUAUUCCCCUCGGUCGGGUCAACAUCAGUUUUGUCCGGUGGAUAAGGACGGUAGGAAGGUGGCACCCUCGGGUGUGUUAUAGCCUGCCGUCGCAUACAUCGGGUGAGACUGAGGAACGCAGCUCGCCUUUAUGGCCGGGGUUCGCCCACGUCCGAGCUUAGGAUGUU